This is a long non-coding RNA of Arachis duranensis, 1200 nucleotides long. RefSeq lists it as uncharacterized. Lineage: Eukaryota; Viridiplantae; Streptophyta; Magnoliopsida; Fabales; Fabaceae. The record is from RefSeq and is a predicted model, not a curated record. The transcript has 8 exons.
UUGAAAAGAGUCAUUCUCGCAGCAAUCCGAAAACCACCGUCUAGCUUGUGAUUGGAUGAUUGGGGUUAAUAAUUCCCUGAUGUCGAGGAAAAGAUGCAGCAAUUUUCCCCCCAAAUUCUAAGAAUAGAGCUAGAAGUUGCAAAUGUCAUCGCCUCUGGGGCGCAGAUGAAGCCUUCCUUUGCCUCCAUUAAAGAGCUCAUCAACGAUGUCCACUCUUCCACUUCCUCUCACCAACUGUUAGCUUUCAUUUUUGGCCUCAAGGAGCACUUAAUUGAAAACAGUCUUUUUUCAUUUUUUAAGUCUUUACUUUUUUUAACAGUGUUUAUUAAACUUCAUGUUUUGGUGUUCAUAGCAACGAACAAAGCACAGAACAGAGUUCCAGGAAAUUGUGUUUUGCUGUUAUAAACAUUUUAAUAGCAAUGCUUAGUUCAACUGCUUCUUCUUGCGGAAGGGAAAAAGAGUCUGCCAAGGUGGAAGAAGAAUGGACCCUCGAUGCGUAUUCAUUUUUGUGCAUUUUGAAUCUUGGAACGUCAAGUAGACAAAUUGGGCUUUAGACAAAUGUUCUACUUGGUGAAAGAGAAUGCUUUGCUUUCCAACGCUGUCAGGAGCUUAGACAAAGAUGUCUCCAAGACAAGAAAACCACAUGCAAAUGCAAAGCAAAGAGAACAUGGACAUAGGAGGAGCAUACUCUGUUUCUAGGAGCCAUAGUGCUAUAUGGAAGAAUGGCAGAGCAUGGAAGGUUUGCUAGGAUCAACUUCCACAAAUUCAGAGUACUUUGCCUCUGCCUCAGCACUUGCACCACCAUUCAUGCUUUGCUUCUGAUUAUAUCUAGAAGUGCAGUUAGUAUUUCUUUGAUGUUGGAACAAAGCUUUGGAGAAGAGAACUAAUUCAACAGGUGAGACAUAGUGAUCUCAACACCAUAUCCUGUUGUUGAGUUACUUCCAAUAUUGUUGAAGAGCAGAGAAGUACAUUAUGUUGUUGAAAGGUACUGCUUAUGGUGGUGUCUGAUCCUGCAAGUUGGAGUGAAAGUGGUCUUAUAGUAGAAAAUCUUGAUGACACCCUUUAUGCUUACAGUAUGGGGUUAUCAGCUCAAAAGGCAAAGAAUAUUAAAGAGCUAAAGAAGCAAAAAGUUUCUGAAGCAAGAUUGGAAUUGAUGAGGCAGAAGCUUUGGUUCCCUCGCCACUCUCUUUUUUUUUUUAU